Molecule: long non-coding RNA, 399 nt
Organism: Cyprinus carpio (common carp)
Lineage: Eukaryota; Metazoa; Chordata; Actinopteri; Cypriniformes; Cyprinidae
Source: Ensembl
CCGGGCAACAGGGCAGAACGCAUCUGUCAUGUAGGCGUCACAUAUUUAACCACUUCCUCUUAGAUAGGGUGAAAAAUUGUGCCAGAAAACAUAGCUCUCAAACUAAGGGCCCACAUACUCUGAACAGACUCUAUACGCAUGCAGUAAGUGCCAAAAUAUCCACAGCCUCCUCAAGACAUUCCACAUCCACGUUCUGGUGACUCAUUCAGACUGCAUACAGCGAUGACAAAGCAUCUUAUUCUAUUGCUUGCCAUCUUGGACAUCGCCAUUAAAACAUUAAACACUGAAGAGGAGCUGAAGGAGACUGGGUUUGGAUAUCCACCUCCUCGACACGGACUCGCCCUAAUUAAGUGCUAUGGGGGGAAUUCAGGAGCACUUUGACAGAAUUCUAAAGCAGCA